This 339-nucleotide ribosomal RNA is filed under the name Triticum aestivum (bread wheat). RNAcentral describes it as "partial small subunit ribosomal RNA". The record is from RNAcentral. Lineage: Eukaryota; Viridiplantae; Streptophyta; Magnoliopsida; Poales; Poaceae.
AUGGCUAGCGAUAUACAUAACUUGGAUGACACUGAUGAUGAUUACUAUGCUUUUGCUGAAGAUUAUUCUCUAGUGUCACAGUCGCAAUUUCAUGAUGGAUGUUUUGAUUCCCUAAAUGUUGGUGGUGGCGAUCCUCAGUUUGACGUCGAGACUUUCCUACAUAACCUUCGCCACAUGUUUUAUUCAUCUAAAAGGGAUGGCGGUUCUGAACCUAAUGAAGUUUUCCAGAAAGAACCCAAGAAACCAGGUAAAGAAGAUGGUUUCACUACUUUGGGGGGAUGCAUUUAUGUGCUGGCUGUAAGUUUUCCUGCUCACUUUUUUUGUCAUUGUUGUUGUUGA